AAGUCGUAACAAGGUUUCCGUAGGUGAACCUGCGGAAGGAUCAUUAACGAGUAACUGAACGGGUUGUAGCUGGCCUCUCGGGGCAUGUGCACACCUGGCUCAUCCACUCUUCAACCUCUGUGCACUUGUUGUAGGUCGGCAGAAGGGCGAGCCUUAAAACAGCUCGCUUGGAAGCCUUCCUAUGUUUUACCACAAACGCUUCAGUUUAAGAAUGUAACCUGCGUAUAACGCAACUAUAUACAACUUUCAGCAACGGAUCUCUUGGCUCUC
Molecule: unclassified non-coding RNA, 270 nt
Filed under: Phanerochaete sp.
Lineage: Eukaryota; Fungi; Basidiomycota; Agaricomycetes; Polyporales; Phanerochaetaceae
Description: partial internal transcribed spacer region
Rfam family: Eukaryotic small subunit ribosomal RNA (bases 1-46)
Source: RNAcentral